This 468-nucleotide ribosomal RNA is filed under the name uncultured bacterium. RNAcentral describes it as "partial 16S ribosomal RNA". It matches the Rfam family "Bacterial small subunit ribosomal RNA", at positions 28 to 507 of the family's 1533-position model. The record is from RNAcentral.
GACGAACGCUGGUGGCGUGCUUAACACAUGCAAGUCGAACGGAAAGGCCCUGCUUUUGUGGGGUGCUCGAGUGGCGAACGGGUGAGUAACACGUGAGUAACCUGCCCUUGACUUUGGGAUAACUUCAGGAAACUGGGGCUAAUACCGGAUAGGAGCUCCUGCUGCAUGGUGGGGGUUGGAAAGUUUCGGCGGUUGGGGAUGGACUCGCGGCUUAUCAGCUUGUUGGUGGGGUAGUGGCUUACCAAGGCUUUGACGGGUAGCCGGCCUGAGAGGGUGACCGGCCACAUUGGGACUGAGAUACGGCCCAGACUCCUACGGGAGGCAGCAGUGGGGAAUAUUGCACAAUGGGCGGAAGCCUGAUGCAGCAACGCCGCGUGCGGGAUGACGGCCUUCGGGUUGUAAACCGCUUCCGCCUGUGACGAAGCGUGAGUGGCGGUAAUGGGUAAAGAAGCACCGGCUAACUACGUG